AUUGGAUCCCAUUACGUUGCCCAGGUUGGCCUCAAACUCCCAAGCUCAAGUGAUCCUCCUGCCUCAGCCUCCUAAGUAGCUGGGACUACAGUUUAAUCAUUGGGAUACUGCUUCAGCAUUUUCUCCAAGAAGUUGAUUCACAAGGCUAGGCCAAGAGGGAGGCAGAGCAAGACAGCUGGAUAGAAGCCUCCACCAAUCAUCCUGCUCACAGCAACACCAAAAUGAACAAUUAUCCAUAAAAAAAAAGGAACUUAAUAAGAACCAAAAAUCAGUACCUGAAAGCAGGGAGGAGACAGUACAGUGAGGAAAAGCAUCUGACAAGGCCAGUUGGGGCAGAGGAUGGGAAGGAUGGAGACACCUUGGUUUGGAAGGCUAGGAAGCAGGCAAAGACUGGCUGUCACUUCAAAUCACCAACCGGGCCCACUGAUUCCAUCUACAAUCCUAACCCACCUCCUCGGGACUCCCUAUGCCUUCCUACCAGUGAAAUGCGAAAUAGCAGCACCUACCACAGCCAAGAGAGCACUUAACACAACAGCAGUUUAUGGACACGAAGAAGA
Molecule: long non-coding RNA, 557 nt
Organism: Gorilla gorilla gorilla (western lowland gorilla)
Lineage: Eukaryota; Metazoa; Chordata; Mammalia; Primates; Hominidae
Exons: 3
Source: RefSeq, a predicted model, not a curated record